Acanthosepion pharaonis is the source of this 110-nucleotide non-coding RNA. The record is from the annotation of a GenBank genome assembly. NCBI's taxonomy places the organism in Eukaryota, Metazoa, Mollusca, Cephalopoda, Sepiida, Sepiidae.
CGCCAUAUCACGUUGAAACAUUGGUUCCCGUACGAUUGCCGUCGUUAAGUAACGUCGAGCCGGGUCAGUACCUUGAUGGGUGACCGUCUGAGAAUACCAGAUGCUGCAAG